This 497-nucleotide ribosomal RNA is filed under the name uncultured bacterium. RNAcentral describes it as "partial 16S ribosomal RNA". It matches the Rfam family "Bacterial small subunit ribosomal RNA", at positions 28 to 507 of the family's 1533-position model. The record is from RNAcentral.
GAUGAACGCUGGCGGCGUGCCUAAUACAUGCAAGUCGAGCGAACAGACGAGGAGCUUGCUCCUCUGACGUUAGCGGCGGACGGGUGAGUAACACGUGGAUAACCUACCUAUAAGACUGGGAUAACUUCGGGAAACCGGAGCUAAUACCGGAUAGUAUAUUGAACCGCAUGGUUCAAUAGUGAAAGACGGUUUUGCUGUCACUUAUAGAUGGAUCCGCGCCGCAUUAGCUAGUUGGUAAGGUAACGACUUACCAAGGCAACGAUGCGUAGCCGACCUGAGAGGGUGAUCGGCCACACUGGAACUGAGACACGGUCCAAACUCCUACGGGAGGCAGCAGUAGGGAAUCUUCCGCAAUGGGCGAAAGCUUGACGGAGCAACGCCGCGUGAGUGAUGAAGGUCUUCGGAUCGUAAAACUCUGUUAUUAGGGAAGAACAAAUGUGUAAGUAACUAUGCACGUCUUGACGGUACCUAAUCAGAAAGCCACGGCUAACUACGUG